AUUUUCGAUUGUAGCGCCACCACACUUACGUAACAAACGCGGACAACCCCCACCACUAGAGUUUAAAAAAAUGUCUGAAACCGGCCUUUUAACCGUUGUUGUCGUCGUUGAUGUUCCCAAAAAUAUGAGUAACAAUUGUUCCAAAAGGAAAAGCAUUUGUUGGAAAAAGAGCAACAAUUAUUACAAAAGGAGCAACAACUGUUGCAAAAAGAGCAAGAGAUAUCUCAAAAUUUAAUAAAUACCGCUCAAAAUAUAAAUAAAAAUCAUCUACCAUCCACAUCAAGAAAUAAUUCAGAAAAUCCCAAAAAUCGGCGUAAUUACUAUAAUUCGAAAAAUCCUGGUAAUCGACAAUUUCAAAAUUUUCCAAAAAUAAAAAAUAAUAAUAACAACAAAAACAACAAUAAUCACAACAAUAACAAUAAUUUUCAUAGAAGACAACACGACCACAAUGGGAGAAAUUGCAGAAACUGCAAUGGGCCUCUACAAAAUUGAUGAUUUGGUCUGCAAGCUUAUGGAGUUCGUCAAAAUUUCUUAUACGACUGUACUUGUGGGAGAAGCUUUCAAAGUCCACAAAUUUAAGUGACGAUAUGAUGAUUACUUAAAAGCACCAAGUUUCUCUAUCUUUUUUUUAUAUUGUUAUAUUAAUAUUAUAAUUCUAUUUCUUGUAUAAUCGAUUUCGAUUAUCGCUAAAAUGUAUGUUUAAAUAAUAUUUAGUAAUUUCUAAUCCUACGUAUAUAGUUUUAUGCAUGUAAUAUUUUAUAAACAUAAACGAAUUACUCUAAAUAAAUCAUUAAUAAAUGUU
Molecule: long non-coding RNA, 802 nt
Organism: Leptopilina boulardi
Lineage: Eukaryota; Metazoa; Arthropoda; Insecta; Hymenoptera; Figitidae
Exons: 4
Source: RefSeq, a predicted model, not a curated record